This 430-nucleotide ribosomal RNA is filed under the name uncultured beta proteobacterium. Its description in RNAcentral is "bacterial SSU rRNA". It matches the Rfam family "Bacterial small subunit ribosomal RNA", at positions 958 to 1392 of the family's 1533-position model. Lineage: Bacteria; Pseudomonadati; Pseudomonadota; Betaproteobacteria. The record is from RNAcentral.
AACGCGAAGAACCUUACCUACCCUUGACAUGGAUGGAAUCCCGGAGAGAUUUGGGAGUGCUCGAAAGAGAACCAUCACACAGGUGCUGCAUGGCUGUCGUCAGCUCGUGUCGUGAGAUGUUGGGUUAAGUCCCGCAACGAGCGCAACCCUUGUCAUUAGUUGCUACGCAAGAGCACUCUAAUGAGACUGCCGGUGACAAACCGGAGGAAGGUGGGGAUGACGUCAAGUCCUCAUGGCCCUUAUGGGUAGGGCUUCACACGUCAUACAAUGGUACAUACAGAGGGCCGCCAACCCGCGAGGGGGAGCUAAUCCCAGAAAGUGUAUCGUAGUCCGGAUUGUAGUCUGCAACUCGACUACAUGAAGUUGGAAUCGCUAGUAAUCGCGGAUCAGCAUGUCGCGGUGAAUACGUUCCCGGGCCUUGUACACACCG